AGAAAAAGUGAGGAAAAUCAUGGAAAACAAGUGAAAAAGGUGGUGAGUCAUCCGAUAAAGGCAAUGAAAUUGCAUUCGAGGACCAGUAGUCAAAGUACUUCAGAAAUUCAUACUCUAGACAUUGGUUCUGGUUGGCAUUUCGGGUAAUGAGUGUCUAUCUGGAC
This is a non-coding RNA of Theobroma cacao (cacao), 164 nucleotides long. NCBI's taxonomy places the organism in Eukaryota, Viridiplantae, Streptophyta, Magnoliopsida, Malvales, Malvaceae. The record is from RefSeq and is a predicted model, not a curated record.